Non-coding RNA from Pangasianodon hypophthalmus (striped catfish), 947 nucleotides. The record is from the annotation of a RefSeq genome assembly. Lineage: Eukaryota; Metazoa; Chordata; Actinopteri; Siluriformes; Pangasiidae.
AUUUAACACAACAUUCAUAUUGUUAGUGAUAAUAAAUAAUUAAAUUAUUUACCACAUUAAUUUGAUAUUAAAUAGAGACAAAAUGGGAAGAGACUGUGAUUAACAGCUGCAGAGCUGCACUCAACACAGCUUCUCUGUAAUAUUUAUGCAAAUCUCCAUCUCCUCUUGUAAUAUUAGCACCGUGCUUAUCUAGAGAGGAAGCGCUUCUCAUUAGUCCUCCUUCAACACAAACAUGUUUGCUUCAGCUCCACUGCUGCUGCUGGCUCUCGCCCCCUAUGUGUUCUGUGCUACUGAGCUCAUCCAGCCAGACUCAGUGCUUAUAAAGCCAGGAGAGACUUUAACCAUCACCUGUAGAGUGUCUGGAGCUUCUAUCACUGAUAGCAGCAGCCACCAUGGAACAGCUUGGAUUCGACAACCUGCAGGAAAAGCUCUGGAAUGGAUCAAUUUAAUUUACUAUGAUGGGGAUAUUGCUAAGAAAGAAUCACUUAAAAACAAGUUUGUCGUCUCUCGAGACACUUCCAGUAACACCGUGACCUUACGGGGACAGAACAUGCAGACUGAAGACACAGCUGUGUAUUACUGCGCUCGAAGACCACACUGACACAACAAGCUGCAGCGCUGCACAAAAACAUCAUCUUCAUCACAAUUCAGUUCUGUAUUUAAAUAAUAAGCACAUUUAACUGAUUAACUAAUCCCCACAUUACAGACACUUCAACCCAAACAUUUAGAUCAUUUAAUCAUUUAACAAAAACUAAUACAAAAGUUUACUCAGUUCAUAGUUAUUCAGAAUAUAUUAUUUAUCUUUUUAAAUGAAAUGCAUCUGAAAGCCCAGUUAAUAUUCCACUUGCUUCACAUGUUUGAAAGCAGUUUUUGACUUCAUAUAAUUUAAUUCAUAUGGUACUCACAAUAAUAGACAUGAAAAAAUAAAAAGUUCUCUCAAUGACUAA